This is a long non-coding RNA of Oncorhynchus keta (chum salmon), 5729 nucleotides long. RefSeq lists it as uncharacterized. The transcript is spliced from 3 exons. The record is from RefSeq and is a predicted model, not a curated record. Lineage: Eukaryota; Metazoa; Chordata; Actinopteri; Salmoniformes; Salmonidae.
GGAUGGCUGCCCACUGCUGACGUUCUUUGGUCAGAGGUGAUAGGAUGGCUGCCCACUGCUGAUGUUCUUUGGUCAGAGGUGAUAGGAUAGCUGCCCACUGCUGAUGUUCUUUGGUCAGAGGUGAUAGGAUGGCUGCCCACUGCUGAUGUUCUUUGGUCAGAGUUGAUAGGAUAGCUGCCCACUGCUGAUGUUCUUUGGUCAGAGGUGAUAGGAUAGCUGCCCACUGCUGAUGUUCUUUGGUCAGAGGUGAUAGGAUGGCUGCCCACUGCUGAUGUUCUUUGGUCAGAGGUGAUAGGAUGGCUGCCCACUGCUGAUGUUCUUUGGUCAGAGGUGAUAGGAUAGCUGCCCACUGCUGAUGUUCUUUGGUCAGAGGUGAUAGGAUAGCUGCCCACUGCUGAUGUUCUUUGGUCAGAGGUGAUAGGAUAGCUGCCCACUGCUGAUGUUCUUUGGUCAGAGGUGAUAGGAUAGCUGCCCACUGCUGAUGUUCUUUGGUCAGAGGUGAUAGGAUGGCUGCCCACUGCUGAUGUUCUUUGGUCAGAGGUGAUAGGAUAGCUGCCCACUGCUGAUGUUCUUUGGUCAGAGGUGAUAGGAUGGCUGCCCACUGCUGAUGUUCUUUGGUCAGAGGUGAUAGGAUGGCUGCCCACUGCUGAUGUUCUUUGGUCAGAGGUGAUAGGAUGGCUGCCCACUGCUGAUGUUCUUUGGUCAGAGGUGAUAGGAUAGCUGCCCACUGCUGAUGUUCUUUGGUCAGAGGUGAUAGGAUGGCUGCCCACUGCUGAUGUUCUUUGAUCAGAGGUGAUAGGAUGGCUGCCCACUGCUGAUGUUCUUUGAUCAGAGGUGAUAGGAUGGCUGCCCACUGCUGAUGUUCUUUGGUCAGAGGUGAUAGGAUAGCUGCCCACUGCUGAUGUUCUUUGAUCAGAGGUGAUAGGAUGGCUGCCCACUGUUGAUGUUCGUGUUGGUCUUUAUUGUCCAUAACAGGUAUGCCACAUAUACAGUACAUUACCAAAAGUAUGUGGGCACCGGCUCGUCAAACAUCGCAUUCCGAAAUCAUGGGCAUUAAUAAGGAGUUGGUACCCCCUUUGCUGCUAUAACAGCCUCCAGUCUUCUGGGAUUUUUCUGCAGUGACUUGCUGGGCAAUGAUGUUGGGCGGUUAGGCCUUGUAGUUGGUGAUCCAAUUCAUCCUAAAGAUGUCCGAUGGGGCUGAGGUCAGGGCACUGUGCAGUUCUUCCACACCGAUCUCAACAAACCAUUUCUGUGUGGACCUUGCUUUGUGCACAGGGGCAUUGCCAUGCUGAAACAGUAAAGGGCCUUCCCCAAACUGUUGCCACAAAGUUGGAAGCACAGAAUCAUACCGUUAAGAUUUCCAUUCACUGGAAAUAAGGGGUCUAGCCCGAACCAUGAAAAACCAGACCAUUAUUCCUCCUCCACCAAACUUCACAGUUGGCACUAUGCAUUCGAGCAGGUAGCGUUCUCCUUGCAUUCACCAAACCUAGAUUAGUCCGUUCGACUGCUAGAUGGUGAAGUGUGAUUCAUCACGACAGAGAAUGUUUCCACUGCUCCAGUGUCCAAUGGCUGCAAGCUUUACACCACUCCAGCCGACGCUUGGCAUUGCGCAUGGGGAUGGAAACCCUUGACAUUUCCACUUCACAAACAACAUUUACAGUUGACUGGGGCAGCUCUAGCAUGGCAGAAAUUUAACUUGUUGGAAAGGUGGCAUCCUAUGACGGUGCCACGUUGAAAGUCACUGAGCUCUUCAGUAAGGCCAGUCUCUUUCCAAUGUUUGACUAUGGAGUUUGCGUGGCUGUGUGCUAGAUAUUUACACACUUGUCGGAAACGGGUGUGGCUGAAAUGGCCAAAUCCACUCAUUUGAAGGCUGAUCCACAUACUUUUGUAUAUUUAGUGUAUCUUGAAAAUGUAAAAACACAAGGACCAACAGUGGAUCAUCUCUUUUAUGUACAUUUAUUUUAUGGCCAUUUGUAAAAAAGUCACAAAAUAAAUUGUGCAGUCUGGUAUGCUUAAUAUAAGGAAUGUGAAAUAAUUUAUACUUUUGAUACUUAAGUAUAUUUUAGCAAUGACAUUUACUUUUGAUACUUGAGUAUAUUUAAAUCCAAAUGCUUGCUUUACUUUAACUAAAGUAGUAUUUUACUGGGUGACUUUUACUUGAGUAAUUUUCUAAUAAGGUACUGUAUCUGUACUUUUACUCAAGUAUGACAAUUGGGUACUUUUCCCACCACUGAACAAGUCAGCGACAUUGGGGAGUUUUCGGGCAUGAACUGCUCGUUUCAGGUCCUGCCAUAACAUCUCAAUCGGGCUGAAGUCUGGACUUUGACUAGGCCAUUCCAAACCUUGUUGCUUUUCAGCCAUUCUGAUGUCUUGAUUGUGUGUUUUGGAUCAUUGUCUUGUUGCAUGACCCAGUUGUGCAUCGACUUCAGCUCACGGAUGGAUGGCCUGAAAUGUUCCAUUAGAAUUAUCUGAUACAGAGCAGAAUUCAUGGUUCCUUCAAUGAUGACAAGUCGUUUAGGUCCUGAGGCAGCAAAGCAUCCCCCAACCAUCACACUACCACCACCAUACUUUACUGUUGUUUUGAGGUUCUUACAGUGCAGUGUUUGGUUUUCGCAGACAUAACGGGGCCCAUGUUGUCCAAAAAGUUAGUUUUGACUCAUCUGUCCAUAGAACAUUCUUCCGGGAAUCUUGACGAUCAUCCAGGUGCUUUUUGGCAAACUCUAUAGUCGACUAUUUGGACGACAUGGGUCCGGUUAUGUCUGUCGCAAACACGGCAUUCCACAGUAAGAACGUCAUGCCGGCGUUCAAGAAUGUUGGUGGUAGGCCUCCCGGGUGGCGCUGUACUGCAGCUCCAGCUGUGCCAUCAGAGUCCCUGGGUUCGCGCCCAGGCUCUGUCGUAACCGGCCGCGACCGGGAGGUCCGUGGGGCGACACACAAUUGGCCUAGCGUCGCCCGGGUUAGGGAGGGCUUGGUCGGUAGGGGUGUCCUUGUCUCAUCGAGCACCAGCGACUCCUGUGGCGGGCUGGGCGCAGUGUGCGCUAGCCAAGGUGGCCAGGUGCACGGUGUUUCCUCUGGCGCAUUGGUGCGGCUGGCUUCCGGGUUGGAUGCGCACUGUGUUAAGAAGCAGUGCGGCUUGGUUGGGUUGUGUAUCGGAGGACGCAUGACUUUCAACCUUCGUCUCUCCCGAGCCCGUACGGGAGUUGUAGCGAUGAGACAAGAUAGUAGCUACUACAACAAUUGGAUACCACAAAAUUGGGGAGAAAAAGGGGUAAAAUUCAACAACAAAAAAAGAAUGUUGUUGGUAGUGUGAUGGUGAAAUUACGUUUUCACACAGGGGCAAUUGGUGUUGCAUAAUUUUUUUAAAAUUCAAUAAGUAUCAACAAUUCAUGUUAUUUGUUCACUCUUUAUCUAAUAUUAGGUUUUGGUUGAAGAUCUGAUAACAUUCAGUGUACAUUUUUUUUUCUGCAGAAAUAGAUCAAAUCAGAAGGUAUAUACUUUUCACGGCAGUGUAUCACUUUCUGCUUGCUAAGUGGUGAGAGUGCAGGGUUUGAUAAGCAGCUUUUAAACUGAACUGGUCCUGAGGUGAUCCUCUCACCACCAGGAUUAGGGCUGCAGUAUGAAAACCCAAUCCAGGUAGCAUGAGACAAAUUAGACACAGAUCAUUGAACUUAAAAAGCUCAUCUUUGAAGGUAGAUGUUGGACCAUGUACUUAACAGUUCAAAUAGAUCUAAGGAACAUGUUCAUCUGAAACACAACAGUGAGAUCUACAUUGCAGGGUUUAAACAGGAUUUAAGAGUUAGGUUAUUUACGAUCUCCUUGCAGAGACAAGCAGGUAUUGUUGACCAGACAGUUGCUCAGAAAAGAGGCUCAUGCUCCUAGCUACAAAUGGGGCAUUAGACUGUUCCUUGCUGUACACCUGGACCGGUUUCAUGGGCCCAGAUAAAGCCUACUCCUGUAUUUCAAACCAUGUUCCAUAGAGAAUCACUGCUUGGUCUAUGAAACAUCCCCUGAAGUGUUACAUGAAUCUGUGUCUAUAUAAUGUAAGUACAUGUUCUUGCAUCUAUUUAAUAUUUCAGCAAUCUGGGGUCAUAUAGUUAAUUUGAAUGAAAGUCAGACCUCUGUAAAUGGUGUCAAAGUGCACCAGUGGCUAACAUCAGCACAGUACUUUGAGGCUAUACAUUUCAUCUAAGUAGAAUGCACAAGGAUGUGUGCACAAUAGGGGCUUUUUUUGUGUGUGGUUAUUGUAUAGAUAAAUUCCAUCUCUCUCUUAGAAAAUAAUCCACUGGGAAGGUCAUUGGGAUGGCAGGAGUGUGAUGGAUGUUAGAAGCACCCAAUUAAGCUUUCUGAAAAGAAGCCUAUGAGCACUCUAAGCACUAACUGUAAAAACAGCUGAAUCACAAGUCAGAGGUAACCUGCAUUAUUCAUUAUGUUUUACAAAGGGUCAGAGUGGCUAAAAUCCUCAUUAUAAAUAUUUUGAGAAGACGAUCGGAGGUCACAGGGCUACUUUUUCGAUGUUGACACAGUCCAUGGGUUUAAGGAGCAAGGCUCAAUCAAACAUUUUACAUACACACACACACACAGAGAGAUCUGGAAAGAUUAAGAUGAUAAGGAGGUGGGCCAUGGCAAAGUCAUACCAAACCCCAUCCUGUGUCUGUCACAAACAAGUGGAUGCCGAAAAUGAACUCUGCCAGGCCUACUAAAUGUGACGUUUUUUACGGUGCCAAAAUUCACAACAAUUAAUGUGCAUGGUGACAAGGCCUAAUUUAAAAUAACCCACUAAAAUGUGACGUUUUUACAGAGCAAAAAAUUACUGAAUGUCAUGUGCAUCCUGAUGACUAAUUUAAGUGAAACGGGUAGUUGAUCAUCUUGGAGUGUAAAUAACCUAUGCAUAAUUUACGCAGUGCUUGUCAACUACCAGAUGGGGGAGUCCACGCCAUCUCGAAGUGGUCAUAUCCCCUCCUUCUCACGGACAUUAAACUAUAAGCUCAUAUGCUUCCAUACUUCAUUUCGAAAGCAUGCAUGUUUAAUAGUUGAAGGAUGUUGACGGAGGUCUGAUUUUAUUAUUACUCUUUAGCGCAGGAUCACGGAAAAGUCAGAUACACAGGCCAUCACUUGUCACUGACUGAACUCAAGCUGUCACUUCGAGUCCAAUACGCGCUGGAGUCUUACAUGCGCUGAUCUAAAUGCUCAGGUAAGGAUUUUUUUUUAAACAAUAUUCAGUCAAACGUAUUUAUCAUCUCCAGCAACUCUAACUUUCAGCUUAUUCGAAUGCUGUUUUCUCAGAAUUACAUGGUUUCUCAGAAUAGAUUUGUGUGCGUGAAUGCAUGAGCGCCUUAUGGUGAGGUUGGCUGCCCCUGGUAAUGCCAAAGUCAGUAGGCUAUUAAGUGAAGGGAACUUGGGAAAUAUAGUCAAAAAGUAAGUAUAGGUGGGGUAGUCAUAUAGUGUAGGAUAGUGUAUGUAUUUCAAUGCUUGAAUUGACCCCAAAUUCAUUCAUAAGUCAUGUCAAAUGGACAAAACAGGAUUGUGUAUGAUGGUGGAAUAGCAGGUCUUGUGUACUGUGCCUUCAGAAAUUAUUCACACCCCUGUUUCUUGCACAUUUUGUUGAGUUACAGCCUGAAUUUAAAAUGUAUUAAAUUUAGAUUUUGUGUCACUGAUCUACACACAACACCCCAUAAUAUCAAUUUGGAUUUUGUUUGUAGAUUUGUUUUGUAUUAAUAAAAAAUUAAAAG